GUCAAAGCCUCCGAUGGGAAGCAUAAUGAUGCUCUUGCCUGUUACAUCCUGAAAUGUUCUGGCAACGGGAAUCGUGCCUCCCUCACGGAUUAAGUCAGGCUCUACGUCAAAAACUGCAGGAGAGAGGUACCUGGCGAAUAGAGAACUUAGCUAUGACUUUGGCCGGUAUGACAGUCUUGGAGCCUGAUGAAGAGAAAGCGCCCUCAAUGCCAUGGAUAGAGACAGUUGGGUAACGCCAACGAUGGUUAUCCUCAUCAGGAUUGACGUUCUGGCACAAAAUAUCUGUCAAAGCAGACAACAGCAGAAGAAUCAGCAUGAAGAUCUUCAUGAUGCGCUGAUGUCUUUGCAGUGAGCUUGAUGAAGUUCAGUUGAUGGAUAACCAGUGACCAGACCAAAUCACUCUGAUGACAAACUCUUAGGCUGUUCUA
Megalobrama amblycephala (Wuchang bream) is the source of this 428-nucleotide long non-coding RNA. RefSeq lists it as uncharacterized. Lineage: Eukaryota; Metazoa; Chordata; Actinopteri; Cypriniformes; Xenocyprididae. The record is from RefSeq and is a predicted model, not a curated record. The transcript has 3 exons.